This 255-nucleotide ribosomal RNA is filed under the name uncultured bacterium. RNAcentral's name for it is "partial 16S ribosomal RNA". It matches the Rfam family "Bacterial small subunit ribosomal RNA", at positions 99 to 354 of the family's 1533-position model. The record is from RNAcentral.
CGGACGGGUGAGUAACGCGUGGAUAACCUGCCGUAUACCGGGGGAUAACACUUAGAAAUAGGUGCUAAUACCGCAUAAGCGCACGGCUCCGCAUGGGGCAGUGUGAAAAAUUCCGGUGGUAUACGAUGGAUCCGCGUCUGAUUAGCUAGUUGGCGGGGUAACGGCCCACCAAGGCAGCGAUCAGUAGCCGGCCUGAGAGGGUGGACGGCCACAUUGGGACUGAGACACGGCCCAAACUCCUACGGGAGGCAGCAG